Molecule: long non-coding RNA, 18764 nt
Filed under: Lynx pardinus (Iberian lynx)
Lineage: Eukaryota; Metazoa; Chordata; Mammalia; Carnivora; Felidae
Source: RNAcentral
UAAUUCAGUCACUGGAGCCCUAAUGAUCGCAGUCAUUUCAGGAGAUGCCAUCAAUUAUAGCAGGGAGCUCAUUCAGAAGUGAAAGAUGAGUUCCAUUCUCUGUUACUUAGAGGUCAGUGAUCAUUCCCCAACCUCUUCCCAGUGAACAAAUAGUACAGUAACUUUCACAGGCUCCCUUCAUUUUUCUCAAGUCUGCUGCUUUACGACUUUUGUAGACCUUGGUUAUAAUAACUUCAUAUGUUUGACUCUGGCAGCCUUAAGACAAGCCUGACCCAAUCAUUUUCUUGCAUCCAUCAUCAUAAAUUCAAACAUAUAUAAUUCUGACUCCCAUAAGAGAUGUUUAAAAGAAUAGGUAUUAUUAAGAUGGCAUUUUAAAACUUCUAAAACAAAUACAAUUGUUAAAAUUUACAUCAAAAGGAUUUUAAAAUAGUAAUCAUUUUCAUCUGCAAACUUUCUAUUAUUUUCUAUAAAUAUAAUCAUAUUGAAAGAUGCAACACAGAUUACACAUUUGUGUAAGAAUUAGCACAGGAUUUGAUAUACUACCCUUACAUGCUCUUUCUAAAGCCAUCUUAAAUUUUUGUAAUUUUAUUUUUUAUUUAUUUUGAGAGAGAUAGAGAGCAAGUGGGGAGGGGCAGAGAGAUAGGGGGAGAGAAAGAAUCCCAAGCAGACGGCAUUCUGUCAGUGCAGAGGCUGAUACGGGGCUUGAACUCACGGACCAUGAGAUUAUGACCUGAGCCGAAACUAAGGGCCGGACGCUUAACCGACUGAGCCACCCAGGUAUCCCUAUAACUAUUUUAAUAAUUAGGAUUAAAAUUCAAUUUUCAAUAUUUUGUUUGAUAACAAAAGGUUGGAUGGCUAAUUCAUCCACCUAAAAGCUUGAACACAAAUGUUUAUAUCAAUUUUAUAUAUAAACCCUAAAAAGGAGAAGCAAUCAAGAUAUUUAUCAAUAGGUAAAUGGAAAAAACGUAAUACAUCUAUGCAAAGAAUAUUAUUCAACAAUUUUUUUAAAUGAGUAAUUAAGCCAUGAAAAGACAUGGAGAAAUCUUAAACGUAUGUUCCUAAGUGAAAGAGUCAGUGAGAAAAGGCCACACAACGUAUCAUGCCAAUUACAUGACAUUAUGGGAAAGGCAAAACUAAGAGGAUGGUAAAACAAUCAGUAGUUGUCAAGGGAUCAAGAAGAGGGAUAGCAAAUUGAAUAGAGAUAGAUGAUUGCAUAGGUGAAGCACAGGGUAUUUUUAGGGUUGUGAAAUUAUUCUAGAUGACACUGCUUUGGCGAAUAUUUCUAUUUCUAACAAAGAAAAGGUAAUCUUUUCAAUAAGUGGAGCUGAAAUGUAUUCACAUACAAAAAAAUGAAUCUAGACACAGACCUUACACCCUUCAAAAAAUUAAUUCAGAGUGGAUCACAGGCAUACAAGUAAGACACAUAACUAUAAAACUCUUAGAAGAUAACAUGGGAGAAAACCCAGAUAACCUUGGGUCUGAUGAUGACUUUUUAGAUACAACACCAAAGGCAUAAUCUAUGUGAGAAAUAAUAUAUGAGCUAGACUUCAUUAAAACUAAAAACUGAUGCUUUGCCAAAAACACUAUUAAAAGAAUGAGAAGACAACCUACAGAGUGGGAGAGAAUGUUUGCAGAAGACACAUAUGAUAAAGGACUGUUAUCCAAAAAAUACAAAGAACUCUUAGAACUCAACAAGAAAGUGAACAAUCCAGUUACAAAAGAGGCAAAGACCUUAACAGACACCUCACCUAAAGAAGAUAUAUGUAUGCCAAAUAAGAAUAUGAGUAGGUGCUCCACAUCAUAUGUCAUUGGUGAAAUGCACAUUAAAACAACAAGAUACCACUACACACUAUUAGAAUGGCCAAAAUACAGAACAAUGACAACACUAAGUGCUGGUGAAGAUGUGGAACAAUAGGAACUCCCAUUCAUUGCUUGUAGGAAUGUGAAAUGUUACAGCACUUUGGAGGGAACCCUGGAAGUUUCUUAUAAAACUAAACAUACUCUGGGGCACCUGGGAGGCUCAGUUGGUUAAGCAUUCAACUUUGGCUCAGGUCAUUAUCUCAUGGUUCAUGGGAUUCUCUCUCCCCCCUCUCUCUCUGUCCCUCCCACACUGGGAGCACAUUCUCUCUCUCAAAAUAAAUAAAUAAAUAUUAAAAAAUAUAUAGGUGAAAAAAAUUAAGAUAAAGCAUCGUAAAAUCAACCAUAGAAUGUUGAGUACAUCAUGAUAUAUUGCUAAAUCAGUUAUAUUACUAACUUGGUAAUAACUGAAGACUUUAAGAUAGUUAUGGAGAAAAAGAAUCCACAAUUUUUCAUCUGAUUUAGUAAAAUUUGUAAAUAAGGUAAUUAUUUUAUUAAUUUAAUUGUCUUGGUUUGUUUUUAACUAAUCUCUUCAUAUUCUUCUCCUAUCUCUUCCAGUGAUUUCAAAAUUAAUAUUAGCUCUAUAAAUGAAUCACAACCUAUCUCUAAAGCAUAACUGCUGUCUAUAUAAAUUUUCACAAAUUCUCAAUGAUAAGUUAAAAGAAUAAUUCUGGAAAAUCAAACACCAUACCCUCAUAACAGAAUAGCAGAUCUCUCUUAGUAGUAAACCCUCCAAAUUACAGAAAGUCUAUUUUCCUCAAAAAAAAAAAAGGAGCUCUAAUCACACUCUUAACUUAGUAGGUUACUAAUAUCAUCCUUCCUUAGUUUUAGAUACAAAUAGUAUAGAAAUGGCUUACAUUUUAGAAGAGAAAAAUAUAACCUUUGGCUAUAUGAAUUUAUUCUCCCUGAAUGUUGUUACAUUCACCAUUGGUGGUAUUUUUUCAUAACCUUUUAGAUUAAUAAUUUAUUUGAUAUCAUUAGUUAAUAAUUUACUGUAAAAUGUCCUACAUUCUAUAGAAAUAUAUAGGGAUAAUAAGAACUAUAAAAAUAGUGACUGUCUUAGGAUUGGGUUAAAAAACAAAUUUUAUUUCUGGUUUAGACAAUGAGUCCCCAGAUAUUCAGCUAUUUCCAGAGUGAUUGCUAGAAAAGAAACAAAUUGGGUUAGAACUCCAGCUAAGUACUAUAUUCAGCACUUACACAAUAUAGGCUACAUUCAUAAUAAAUGGCUUUAAUUUAAAUGUAAUUUCUAAGAAGAAUAAUCUCACUACUCUGACCAUAUAUAUGUUAGUUCCUUAGGAUAAUAAUUACUUCUAAGAAUUAAAAACCUUGAACCUGCUGGCAUAAACUUUACUGCCAGCACAAUACAAGAUGAAACAUUUAAAUUCAGCAAAGUCAGAGGUAUAUAAAAGAUAAUCACUCUCUCAAUCUCUCUCCCUUUCCCUCCAUUCCUCUCCCCNCCCAAUCCCCCCCCCUUUCCCCCCAUUCCCCCCCCCCCCCCCCCCCCCCACCAUCACCGCUAAAGUUAACCAUUGGUUAAUAUGAAGGUUGGGAAACAAAAUUAAAUAUUUUGGGACAUACAUUUAUAUUCUCAUUAACUCUUUAAAAAAUACUAAUUGUCAACUAGAACAUAGGAAAUAUGCAAGUGUCUAACUACUGCAUCUUCCCCUCAGAGAGAUAAUGGUCCAAAAAGGAAGAUGAUAAUACUUAUAAAUAAGUCCUAUAUGAGACCUAAAGUAAUCUAAGCCCCCGGAAGAGUAGUAUUCAUAAAAGGGGUGAUUCAGAAGACUAAGGGAGUUCAUCUAGCUGACAGGAUUAGAGAAGGCCACACUGAACAGAUGAUGCUUCAAUGAGUUUUCUAAGGUUUGUUAAGUUAAUUAAACUACUAAGCUAUUGGACUAGGGCAGUCCUGAUGCUGUGAUGGCCUAUGGAAGGAAACCAAAAUCUAAGACUGUAUGUUAAUGUUUGAAGGUUACAAAUUGAAACUUAAGGACAGUCAAUCAUAGUCAACUAGGCUGUAAACUACAAUCAACAGUCAACUACAGGGGUUAGGUAGAACAUCCUAACCACUUCUGGUUUGGUGCUUUUGGAUUCAAAUUAAUUUUUGCUCAAAUAACUCUUAAUUUUUUAAAUCCCUCAGUUAAUCUUUAAUAGUUUAGAUAUGAUUUACAAGACAAUUCUGGGGGCGCCUGGAUGGCUAAGUCAGUUGAGUGGCCAACUCCUGAUUUUGGCUCAGAUCAUGAUCCCAGGGUCAUGAGAUCAAGUCCCGAGUUGGGUUUCAUGCUGAGCGUGAAGGCUGCUUGGGAUUCUCUCUCUCCCUCUGCCCCUCGCCUCCACUCACACACACACUCUCUCUCUAAAGGAAAAAAAAAGGGAAAAUAAAAGAAAAUUCUGAAGAACAAGAAGGAAACUCUAGACAAUGAUUUCCUCCUGAGUAUAGAACUAUGGCAGGUACUUGGGACACAUAUGGGAAGUACUAAAUAAUUUAGAGUAUAUAGAAAAUGUAUACAAUAAUAUAUACAUAAUAUAUAAAUAAAUAAUAUAUAAAAAUAACAAUAAUUUGGAGUAUAUAGGAAAUAAUGAAUAAAGUUAGAAAAGCAACUCAUAGUCCUCUUUUCAGCAUUUAUUUAUUUAUUUGGAGAGAAAGAAAGAGCCCACGUGCAAGCAGGGCAGGGGAAGAGAGAGAGGGAGACAGAAUCUCAAGCAGGCUCCACACUGUCAGCGCAGAGCCUGACACAGGGUUCCUUCCUACAAACAGUGAGAUCAUGACUUGAGCCAAAAUCAAGAAUCCUACACUUAACCAACUGAGCUACUACCCAGGGGCUCCCGUAGUCUUAUUUAGUUACACACACUGGCUAUAUCAUCAAAACAAAACAAGUUUUAAUAGAAAAAUAUAGAGGUAUUUUCCUCAUUUCUUAUAGUUUUUGUUGUUGCUGUUUUCUUGCUUCCUUGAGUGAUUCCAUAAACUGUUAUCUCAAAUCCUUGGAAACACAGGAUUAUUACAGAGGCUAAAAAGUAUAUGGUUUACUUAAUGAGAAGAGAAAUAUAAAAAUAAAGUAUUUGAUGGCAAAAUGGCUUUACAUUAUAAACUCAUACAUACUUCCUGUUAGUCUAUAAUUCUUUAAAAAUAAAAAACAAAGUUAAGGGCAUCUGGGUGGCUCAGUUAAGUGUCCAACUCUUGAUUUUGGCUAAGGUCAUAAUCUUGUGGUGGUGAGAUUGAGCUCUGCAUUGGGCUCUUCACUGAAUGUCCCUCUCUCCCUUUCUCUCAGUCCCUUCCUUGCUCACACACACUCUCUCUCCCAAAACAAAUAAAUACACAUUUUUUAAAACAAUAAAAAAAAUAAAAAAUUAAACCCCAGAGAUAAGUAUACUUAAGGAUUAGGGUCUUAGCCUAUAUAUUUCUAAAUAAGAGAUCUAUAGGUUCUAAUGCUCCAUCAUUAUUAAAUGCCUGUAGAGAACAUUAUGCCAUUUUGGGGCAUCAUUAGAAUCCUCUGUACUUUGUCUCCUGGCCAUGCUGCUUUUAUGUAGGUAUUUAUUUAUUUAUUUGUUUCUAUAUAGAAGGUGUCUACAGGUAGUAAUAUAGAGAGGAAAGUAGGCUAUAGAACUUUCCUGAGAGUGUACUUUUAGAGCAACCUUGGAUUUUAUGUCUAUUGUAUGUUUAUUUUGGGUAGCCAGGAUAGCCAUAGGGUUCAAAAGGGAAUUAAAGCCCACUCAAGUUACCUCUUGGGGCCGCCACUAUUCAUUCAUUCAACACAUAUGUACUUAAUGCUAACUGGGAUUCAGGGACUAUGAUAGUAUUGAACAUAGAGUAACAAACGAGAGAGAUAAAGUCUAUGACCUCAAGGAGACUUGAAAUAUGUGGGGAAGAGAGAAAAUUCAACAAUAAAUUGCACUUUUAAAUGCAAAUAGAUGGUAUAGUAUGAAGGAAUGAAAAAUAUAACAUUGGUAUGUAGAUCCAGAAAUAUUUUAUGAGUCCCAGACCCAAGAGAAUUAUGUCCACUGCAUAGUACUAUCAUUAUUUUUCCAACUGAAUCAAAAUUAUGAAUCUCUAGAGUCGGAAAGUUACCUGAAGUCCAGAAGAAUUACUGGUUAGUAUGCAGGAGAGAAUUUUAUAUCAUCUUAACUUUUAAUAAUCUGAGCUUUCACCUGAAAAUUGCUUAUCAUUCCAGAGUAUGUAUCAAUGACUGGCAAUCAUAACUGGAUACAAGUAAACACUUCUUUACUAUCUUAACUAUAUACAGGAAAGUAUGUUGAAAUGAUUGCCAAUAUAAAUGAUAAUAAUAAGGUGUGUCAAAUUGUAAAAUAAUACUAUCAUAAGAGUUAAUUAUAUUUAUAAUAUAUAGUAUAAUAUAUAUAACUAUAUGUUAUAUGUAAUAAUAUAAAUUUUAUAUAAUAUAUAAAUAAAUAUAUAUUUCAAUAUCUAUAUUAUAUGCAAUAUAUCUGUGUAUACAGAGUAAUGACAAUAUAACUAUAUGUUUGCAUGGUAUUGUAAUAUGUAUAAAGCUUUUUACACAUAUUACUGCAUAAUUAAUUUUCAUAAAGUUUUAUGACAUAGGCAAGACAGGAAAGAUGAAGUGUUCAUGUGGUGAAUUAAAUGGCUUUUAUUUCUUUUCUUCUUUUUUCAUCUUUCUAUUUAUUUGUCCAAGUUUACUACGGCUAUUGAGUAGCCGUCACAGUCCUUGAAUCCCUGACCAAGAUAGUGUGUCCACUGACCCAAAAUGAUAACAUUAUUUAUUGGUUAAAUUGGUGUAAUAAGAUUAUAGACUUAAAACUAAGGGUGACAUUGAAUCAGAGUAUUCAUUGUAGGAGUUGGCUGAGGGGGCCGCUAUUGCAUAUUUGGUGUUUUAACAGGACAAUAAGUUUUACAGAUGAAGAACAGGCAGAACCAGAGAUCAAUCCCUCCAUUUAAGUUCUUACACUAAGCAAAGGCAUACACCUGUUUUCAGAUUUGAAGAGAAGGAGGAAUCCUCACUGGAAAAAGUAGCAGCUAGUUAAAGAGGCUGGAGCACCAGGGCUCUAAGAAGCAAGAGGUGGGUGUUGUAAUUCAAAUUGCAUGCUAAUUCUCAUUGAUCAGCCUAUUUAAAUGGUAAUGAGGCAUAGAUAGUGUUUCUGGCCCAAGUGCUAGAAACUCCAUGCAGAGGAUAUCUGUCAGCAAGAAAAAGAUACUGCUGCUUGCUUGAAAAGCUGUGGUUGCUUUAGGGGCUUGUGACUGUAAAAGGGAAUUACCUUCCAGUCCUUUGACCUGUGGGGAAGGAGAUCCUACCAAGAAUUUUCAGGACUGCAACAACACCCAACUGCUACCAUUCUUCUACUGUCACCUUCAGCUUUCUGGGGCUAUAUUCUCCUGUAAUGAGAAAGAAGAACAGAUAUAGCUACAAUUGCCACUUGUGGGGAGAAGACAGAUGACCAACAUCACAAAUCAUCCUUAGCUGAGUACAGAGGACGCCUGAUUGCGUGUCGUGUUCUGCAAAAAUCUUAAUUAUUUAAGAUUAUUAAUUAUUAUUAACAUUCUUGUUAAUGUCAUUCUUAGUACUCAUGUUUGGUUCUUAGGGAAGAACUAAGCCUUUUUUUUCUUUCCUUUUUUCUUUCUUUAAUGUGCAUUAUCAGGAAGUGUACCAGGCAUUUUACCUACAUUUAACACAUACGAAGCCCAGCUAAGUAAUCAUAUUAAAUAUUAAAGAAUUUUUUUGUUCCAAACCUGAGAAAAGGCCAAUAUGAUAUUAACAAUCAACUUUGAAAAAAGUAUAUCUGAGUGAUUUUCUGGAAGGUAAUUUGGGGCCAACUUCAUUGUUAGAUGUGUUGGAGAGAAACUUCCAAAAUGUUAGAGUAUAACCUAGACAGCUAUCAUGCUUAUAACCAGCCGACUACCUCAAACCAGAUGGUUAAAUCGGUAAGAUACUUUAACCAGUCUAAUUACUACCCUAAUAAUCUUUAGCAAAGUCUUCCCUUCUUAUACGUGUGUUAACAAUGUAAUCUAGUUACUUUUUCUCCCUAUAAAAUACUCUAUCAAAUGUAAAUAUUUGAAUGGCAUUCCCAGAAGCAUAUUUCCCAAGGAAAUUUAUAAAACUUUGGAUGCAUACUCAAAUAUAUUCUGCCUAAGAAGUUGCUUUAACAUUUUCAAAGAAAUAAUAGAAAGUAAAACCCACAUAAUGUCUCUCUGUGGUUAGUUUUGCACACACACACACACAAAUUUUUUUUUAAAGGUAUUUUCACUAAGCACAACACAAUCCCCUAAUAGUGUCUUUUGGCUAUUGACGUCAAUCUUUAUAAUUUCUGUUUCAUCAUAACUACGCCGAAGUCUCCUCAAUUCCAAUAUAGAAAGAAAUACCCUCUCCCUGGAAUGUAGCUGAUGAGGCUUUCUAUUAUCUCACCUGUCAGCUACCUGGCUCUGCUUUUUUAAUGUGCAUCAAUUUAUCCCCUCUUGCUUCUUCCAAUUUUCCUGUUUGACAAUAACCUGGAAUCUUCACAAUAAUGGAGCAUCCAGGAGCUGAUUAACAAGUAGGAACUCUUUCUCCUUGAAUACUCAUAUGAUAAAUAGUGUUAGUUCUCUAACAUUUGUCUGCUUUGAUCUUUUUAGUCCUUUGCCAAGAGGAACAUAAAGUGUAAUUUUCAAAAAAAUAACAUUGUAAUUGUCAUGUGAAUACAACAUGAACAUGUGUAUAAGGGUUUAUUCAACUCAUUAAUAAGAAACCAAGAUAGCAAUUAAAAAAGUUCAAAGAACUUUUAAGAAACUGGUUAUUUAUGGAUGAUUUAAUAAAGGAAUGCUAGUAUAUAAUUGUUGGGUUAUAUACAAAACUGCUUAAUAUCCUACAUUUGGGGUUGUCUUUUCUGCCAAAAUAAACUAUUUGUAUCUUUCGCAGACAAAAUUCUACAUGUUAAACUCUACUUCUACACAGUUGAAAAGUAGCCUAGUCGAUAUAAAAUAAAUCAAAGGUUUAACUCAGAGCCAUGCUGAAAGAACACCGAGUAAUAUCUUCUACCUAUUUCCAAGCUUCAGACAGUAUUUCUAACACAGUCCUUCCUAUUCACAGAUACAUCCUUUCUUUUUUUUUUUUAAUGUUUAUUUAUUUUUGAACCAGAGACAGCACGUGUGGGGAAAGGACAAAGAAAAUGAGACAGACAGAAGAUUCAAAGCAGGCUCUGAGCUGACAGCAAUUGAGCCCCAAUGUGGGGCUCAAACCCACAAACCACAAGAUCAUGACCUGAGCCAAAGUCUGAUGCUUAACUGACUGACCCACCCAGGCACCCCCAGACAUCUCCUAUUCUCAUUCAUCUACUGAGUUAGAGGUUUCCUUUCUGAACCAUGGUGGUGCUAUGAUGGUUUGAUUAGCUAUUUCUAUCAGUUUCUCCUAGGAAACCAGAAUUGUGGGAAUUGAGAAUUGUCAAGAUGACUGGUAUGGCGGCAUUAUUUUAAUCUCAUCCAGUCCCAGGUUCUCUGUCCUUUGUAAUCUCAGAAAAAAAUCAGCUUUUUUUUCUGACAGUCUGACACUUAAUAUUUUGGUUUAUAUGAACUGAAAUUAUUAUAGGACCACCUUUUUCCUCCUCUUGAUCUGAGAAACACAGGUACUGUAUAUAUGAUUAAUAUCAAAAAUCUCAUUUGUGAGACACUAUGUCAUACUAAAAGCAAAUGAAGAGUUAAAACUCCAAAAAUACAAAUAGUUAUAUUAAAUUAAUUGUAUUUUGGAGGAUGGGUGAUGGGAGGUGAUGGAAGAAAGCAAAUCUGUGACUGGGGGAGGGAAAUCUACUAAUCCUCUCUCACUAGUAUCCUGCUCAUUGCAAUCCUAUUUUAAGAGACUUAAGAAUACCCGUUUCACUUUUUUUACCCCCAAUAUACCCUGACAUCUUUGCUGAGCUGAAUUAUUUACUGUCACUUACUAAUUGCAAUCAUGAGGUUUCAUUCCCCCCCCCAACUUUGAUUAGCUACAAAAAAGAAUUAGAAUUCAAGGGUACUCAUGGUUCCUGAUAGAUUAUAAUAAUGUUAGCUAAGUUGUUGCAAUAGAUCCCUCCAGAGACAAGGUCCAGCCAUUUCUGACUCUCAGAGCUGAGUUAUUUUGUUUCAUAUUAGAUGGCAUAAGUGUAUAUUCAUUUGCAAUCAUAUGCACUCACUGAAUCCUUAUAACAACUUUUUAAAGUGUUUUCUAUUAUUAUCUACUUUCUAAAGAGAUGGAAACUGAAGGUCAAGGAAGUUAAGUAGAUUGUCCAAUACCACUAUCUAUGGGAGAAUUAAGAUUCAAAUUGGGUUUGUCUGCAUAGAAUAGACAGAGAAGAAAGUUUGUGUUCUGUUAAUAUUCCAUUGCCUUAUAUCUUGAAUGGUUUUAAAUAUUUUAAAUAUUAUAUAAAAUUGAUUAUAAAGUAAGGUAACAAUUCCUGCUUAAUAUAGGUGAGAUCUAUAAAAUGAACAAAAUCAUAGGUACAAAUUUUAUUUCCUAAGCUACUAAAUAUAAUGAUAAUGCAUCUGCCAAUUUUAAAACUAUGGCAAAACAAAAUGCAUAUAAUAAAUCUAUAAAUACUCAAGAUGACCUGGUUUUAUAUAUUUUUCCUGAAAGGUAACUUCCAAUUUUAAUUUUUCAUGUCUGUCAGUAAUGUGAUAACAUUUUAUAUUAUAAUACAAAUGUCUUUUAUUUAAAAAGAGCCUAAAUUUUUAUUUUUCCAUUCUAGGAACAAAUCUUUGAGUAUUUAGUGCAUAGCUUGUUAACUGUUUCCUAAUAUCAAAGAUACUUUGUUCUUGUUGAUACAAUUGGUUUGGUUUUGACUUACUGUUUCCAAUUCAGAAAAAUGCUUUCAAAUUUAUGAUAAAUAUUAAUGAUAUGAUAUUCAUCUAAACAUUAUUACCUACUGGCAAAAAUACAGGCCUACAGGGUCCAGGUAAUUUACAACUGUAGAAUAGUGAGAUAUUCUUAGCACAUAUCUACUUUGACGAAAAUAAGGUACUGGAUUAGAUGAUCUUGCCACUUGCUUCUAGUUCUAAGAUAUAAUGCUAACCAUUUAUAACUAUUCACAUAUUGAGUGUAAUCCACAGAAAGUGACAUUUACCACUUUUGGCCUGUAGUACAUGGUUGCCAGUAUUUGAAUACCCUAUCACAAUGAGAAUUUUUUUUUUAUAGUCUUAACCUCAACUCUACAUACAUUAUGCUAUAUGAUUAUAAUUGUAUAACAUCAUUAUAUGAAAACAUAUUUUUGUUGCUUAUGUAAAUAGACAUUCAAUUGAAUAUAUACUAUAUUAAGAGCUAUCAACAGUUUGUACUGUAAUGGAAAAAAAAUAGGGAUAUUAAAAGAAGGCAUAGGAGAAUAUUCUCAUUCCAAACCUUGGAGAAGGAUAUAGAAAAUUUGGUGUGUGCAGACAUGCAUGCCAACAUGUAUGCAUGAUACCUCUUUGUUAUAUAUGCCACUGAUAUCAUACUUAUUUUAUAUUGUGUAUUUUAUUUAUCUGGUGUAUUUAUUUAUACUUAUUUUAUAUGGUUUAUAUUCCAUAAUUUGGCUGUUGUUGAUAUUGCUGCUGUAAACACUGGGGUGCAUGUUCCCCUUCAGAUCAACAUUUUUGUAUCCUUUGGAUAAAUUCCUAGUGAUGCAACUGCUGGGUCGUAGGGUAGUUCUAUUUUUAAUUUUUUGAGGAACCUCCACACUGUUUUCCAGAGUGGCUGUACCAGUUUGCAAAGAACAAAAAGUUAAGCCACUUGAGUAUUUCACCAGAUUUUUUCUUGACCCUAAUUAAAAAUGCAAACUUGAAAUUAUUCAAUGCUAGUUCAUUUUACAACUGUAGAGAUUAAUACCCUCGUGUGUUACCGCGUGUGUGUGUGUGUCUGUGUGUAUGUGUUUGUUUUUUAGUGUAGUUGUUUUCUGCUGUGUUUCAGAAUGGAGUUAACCAAGAAUAGUUUUGUAUUAGUAAACAACCAUGUUAUUGGUGGACUGUGAAUUCCUUGCCUCUUUUUCUUUUCUUUUUUUUUUUAAGUAUUUAUAUAUUUAUUUAUUUUGAGAGAGAUAGCGCAAGUAGGGGAGGGGCAGAGAAAGAGGGAGAUGAAAAGGGGGAAAGAGAGAAUCCCAAGCAGGCUUCACAUCACCAGCACAGAGCCCAGUGUGGGGGCUCCAACCCAUGAAGCCAUGAGAUCAUGACCUGAGCUGAAACCAAGAGUUGGAAACUUAACCAAAUGAACCACCCAGAUGCCCUCCUUGCCUUUUUCUUAUUGGUAUCCAACAAAUUUAUUUUCUGUUAACAAGCUUAGGAUACUCUCUGGGAGUGGGGGAGAGGGGAGGAUCUGAACAACCCAAAGCAAAGGGCAAUUUCACUUCAAAGUGUUUAGAAAAUGAUAGAAUGUGAGAUCCCAAUCAGAACUUCUGCACACUUCUGCUGCUUUGGGAAUCACUGGUGAUAUUCAUUCAACUUUUUUGUAAUUUAUAUGCUGUAAUAUUGUCAAACUUACUUUUCUCCAAGAAACUAAAAGUCCUACUUCUUGUGCCAUGUACAUUAAUUCUUACUGUUCCCCUUAAGAUGAAGAUCAAGUAAACUUACGGUGUUAUAGAAAACAAUUCUUUUCAUCUAUAAUAUUAGUUAUCGGUUCAUAUAACAUACAAGUGACUCUCAAAACAGAUAGUAAAAACCACUAUCUACAAUGACAAAACAGUACUGUGUAUUUUAAUAGUUUAUUUUGAAAGAAAUUUCUAAUAUAAAAGUUAUAUGAUGAUAUAUAUGUCUCCCUCAAAAAUAAAUAAAAAAACUGAAAUAGUUGAAGAAAGUUCCACUUUAUUUUUAUUUUUCACUACAUAACACAGAUGUUACACAGAUUCUGGUUUAAGUGAAACAGUGUUUUUAUUAGGAAUAGAUAAUUUCCCAGAUAUAAGAGUGUCCCCCCAAAUGCAAUCAUAUGAGUUUUAAACUAUGAUUAUAAAUCCUCUGAUGCUCUUCCUAUAGAAUAUGCCCUUGUUCUGAAUCUGGGUGAGCUUGUGACUGUAUCAACCAAGAGAUUAUAAUGGAAGAAUACCAUGAGAAUUUCAAUACUGCACUUCAAAAGGCCUUGCAAUUUCUCAUGUGUUUGUUAAUAUACUUGCCCUUGGUAUCCAGAUCCACCAUCUAAGAAGUCUGAAUUUUUAACACCACCAUGCUAAAGUCUACUGCAGGCAGUUAAGUCAAUAGCACGAGCUGAGACAAGCCCUCCAGCUACAUCCCUGCAAACACACCAGACAUGUGACUGAGGCCAUCUUGUACCCUCCAGACUAGCCUGCCUGCCAGCUGAGUACCACCAAGUGACUCCUUUUGACACCACAUAGAACAGAAGACUCACUCAUCAAGUCCAGCCAGAAUUCCUGUCCCACAAAUAAGGGAGCUAUAUUAGGAAGAUCAUUGUUUUAACUCAUUAUCUUCUGGAGUAAUCUGUUACAUAUCAAUAAAUAAUUGGGACACAUGUCAAACAUGAUUUCAGAUGAUUGCCUAUUCUGUCUCCUCAGAGUCAAAAAUCCAGAAUAUACAUUCUCUAUGAAAUGAUCACAUGAAAAUCCAAAAAUAUUAAUAAUUAAUUAACAACUAACCAUAAAAACCACAAUAAUAUGUACUGCUAUUUAUUGAGUGAUUUUGCCAAGCACGGGGCUACACAUUAUAAAUGAAUAAUUGAUGUGGGAGCCAAAUUACCUAGGUUACAUGUAUUGCACACAUUAACAAAAUCUAGGUAUGAUAUUAAAUACAGAAAGUCAAGGGCUGAUAGAAAGUAGGGUAUUUGUAAGAGUACUCAAGAGUGCAAGACUGAAGUCCUGAUUUGUUUAGGGAUUUCAGCAAUGAGUAAUGAUGAUAUCCAGUUUAUGUAAUACAAUCAUGUUAUCAACUAUGAAGGCCCACUGUGAAAUAUUCUUUAAGAUUAAAUAACCACACAACUGAUACUGUGGAAAGCUGUGUUUGACUAUAAAAUAUGAUUACUCUAUAGAAAAAUGUUUUUUCAGCAUUGCAAGGAGAAAUAUAGAGGCAUAAAAAUCUUUUAGGAAUCAGUAUGUAAUGCAUUUUUUUGAAGAAAUAUGUAAAUAGGUUCCUACAAAACGUUUUCUGUGCACUUUGGAGUUGAUAUGUGAAAACUAAUAUCAUUUGGAUUAAAAAUAUUUCACUAACUCACUUAAAGCUAAGGUGGAAUAUUUUGCAAUAAAGAAAAUUACUUAAGCUUUGAUCACUUAUGUAGUGUUUAAAUUCCUUAUACGUGGGUGAAAUAUUAUACCACCUGCACCAUUAUUAAAUACUGUUCUUUUUUUUUAUUUCAAAAGUUCACUACUGUACUAGGCAUCAGAAAUUUAAACAUAAAUGCAACCUUCAAGGAUCUCAUACACUAGUUAGAAAGAUGGGGAUUUAAAAAAAAUUUUUUUUAAUGUUUAUUUUUGACAGAGAGAGAGACAGAGACACAGCACGAGUGGGAGAGGGGCAGAGAGAGGGAGACACAGAAUCCGAAGCAGGCUCCGGGCUCCAGGCUCUGAGCUGUCAGCACAGAGCCUGAUGCAGGGCUCGAACCCACAAGCUGUGAGAUCAUGACCUGAGUCGAAGUCAGACGCUCAACCAACUGAGCCACCCAGGCACCCCGAAAGAUGGGGAUUUUAAAACAAGUUAUACAGUGUAAUAAAAUAGUAGGCACAUUAAAACAAUACACAGGUUGCACAGAGUAGAUGACUGAAUUUGCUGGGGUGGGCAAAAAAAGGUGAUUAUGGAUAAUCUACUUAUUAGUUUUCCAUUGCUUCUGUAACAAAUUAUCACAAACUUAGUGAUUUAAAAUAAUACAAAUUUAUAGAUCAAAAGUCUGGUUGGCCUGGCUGGUUUCUCUGUUCCUGGUUUAAUAAGACUGAAAUCAAGACAACAGAUGACUGGACUCCCAUCAGGAGUCUCUUGGAAGAAUUUGCUUCCAUGCUCACUUCAGAAUGUUAGCAGAAUCCAGUUCAUCGAAGUUGCACAACUGAAGCCCUUGCUUCUCCUAGAGGCCUCUGUCUGAUUCUUGCACAUAACUUUUUCUGCUUUAAAAGGGUCAUAUGAUUAGAUUAGUCCCAUCCAGAUAAUCCAGGAUCACCUCUCCAUUUUAUAGUUCAUAACAUCAAUUAUAUCUGCAAAUUCCUUUGCCAUGUAACACAACAUGGUCACUAGAUUCAGGGAUUAAAGUAUGAACAUCUUUGAGAGACCAUUCUGCUUGGCACAGUUCAUAAACGUAGUUGGUUUUGUUUUUUCUUUUUAGAAAGAAAGAUCAAGUUAAAUCUAGAAGUAGAAAAUGAGGAUAUCUACGUUGAGAGUGAACUAUCUAGUAAAAAGGCCUAAAACAUAAUUCAUGAUAAUAAUAUGAGAAACUAAUCUAAAAAAGAACUGUGUUCAGGCAGGAAGACAAAUGUUAUACACUUUAUUAUGUGAAAAGAAAUGAAAAUAGCACGAAUACAUAUAGAUCAUGUUAUCUUGAGCCUAACAUAGCUUCGGCUUGGUGGCACGGCCUCAUAUACAUGUUCCUUUCAUAACCUACUAAUGAAAGAGACAAACAAUAACAAAUACAAAACAGCAUCAACAAAAAAGACUCUCCCUAAUUCUCCAAUUAUUGUCCAAUGUUUGCACCAUGCCAAAUAUAGCAUACAUAUAUAAUGCUGGAAGAACAGCAAUUCCUGGGGGAAAGGCCUCUGAAGUCAGUAACUCAUUGAGAUGUGAGAUGUUAAUGUUAAAGUGGCAUUAUACAUAGAAGUUGCUGGGUCCUAGGGAACUUUGGUGAAAUAUGCAUCCAGCAAGGCAGCCAUAACCAGAGCCGUUAUGUCUGUUAUGUCUGUAGCUCUAUAGUCUGUAGCAGUCUAUAGUCAUUCUCUAAAUCUGAGUUUCUGCAGAUGCAGACUAGUGAAUUAAAUGGACACUAAAAAAAAAGAAAAAAAGGAUGACCUCUACAACCUUUAGAUUUUUAAUGGUAGUAAGAAUCUCUCACAUACCUCUGAGAUAGAGAUUUCAUUUAUUGUUUACUAAGUUACCUGGAAGAAGGAUGGGAUUUUAAGAAGUUGCAACUUGGCUUUCCCCAAGUUUCCUAGUUCUUGAUCCACAAACCAAGAACCCAAUAUGAGUAUUACUCUAACUGCCAAAUGAAGUCUAACUUUACAUUUAGAGACUGAGGAAACAAUCAUUGGUUAGAUCCAUGGACAGAGUGGUCCCACCAUGAGUUAGUUAGACAUUAACCACUACAUUUAAUCAUCACUCCCUUUAUUUCCUGUCAUGCGUAAGCUUCUACUCUCACAGAGGGGCCUGGGUAAUGCUUUGGGUCUUCAGUUAUCAAUAUCACCUCACACUCAAACUCUGUGUUCAAUGGUCUUCAAAUGUGUAUUAAUUCCCCUUUCUUAAAUGUACAGUGAUAUGAGGGGGAAUCUCACAGCCUAUAAUGUUCUGUCAUGUUGCAUGGUCCUUCCUCCUAGGGAACUGACCACCUCUUUAGUCAGUGCCUUCCAUACCUAAAAAUUAGCACAGGUCUGGACACUGAACUUUUAUUGAGGUGACUCUCCAAACCCCUGUGUCUCCAUUCUUAUUUUUUAGGGGAAAAAGUUACAGAUGUCAACAAGCACACUUAUUAACCCUAAGGCUUUCAAAUAUUUAAAUUUCAGAGUCAUGUUCAUAGAACAUAUAGAUGACUGACCAUCAGAAUGACUUCAGAUAGAUUCUUAUAGGAUAUAGGAGUUUUUGAGUGAAAAAAAAUAGGGGAGUGUAUCACUUAGCGCCACAAGUUUAGCUGUCACAUCAAUGCUCCUGGGAUUUGGCUCACUGUGGGUAUGUCAUAAUGAGGUAUAAUUUAGGUUUCUCAAUAUCAAAAUAAGAUUUUCAAACCUUCCUGAUACUGAUACAUUUAUAGAGUACUUUUUUCCACCUUACAAAGAUAACUGUUAUACAGUAUUUCACAAUGUACCCUUUUAGCAAUACUCAGUGGAUUUGCUAAGAUGGCAUGUGCUAUUUAUGACAAAGUCAUAAGUCUUUUAUACCAGCAUUAUCACUUCAAAGUAAAUAUAAACUCCUCUUGCUCAUGACUGUUAGAAAAAGACUGACUAUAAAAUAUCACGACAGACAUUAUGUCAUUUAAUUUCCAACAGUUUACCACCAAGGUAGAUGUAAAUAUUAUGUAUCAAAUAUUCUAAUUUCUUUUUCCAUGGUACUCCUCACUGUGGAAAGGUUAUAUAUCCCCACCCUACUGAAAUCAAUCUUGGCUAUCAGACUUGGUGUGUGUCAGUUCCAAGCAGAAUAUUUUUCAAUGCCAGAUGUUGGUUUGAAAUAUCUCUGUCCUAUGAAACACUAAUUGGCAAUGUUCCAGAAGGCAACUUCUUCAUUAGACUGAGUCCCAGAGUACAAAUGUUGUGAAACAGGUUCUCAAUUAGCAUAGGGCAUGAAGAAGAAAUAUCUAGAGAGAGGAUUUAGCUCAUAUUCAAAUUCAAAUUUCCUUUAAAAAAUUACAUAUUUUCAGCAUGGGUAUAAUCACCAAACAAAUUCUCCUACUUUUUUUUUUUUUUUUUUUGGUAAAAAAUGACCAAAAAGUAUUGCUUAAGAUUCCAUUUUGAUAGAACUGGACCAAUGCAAUGAAAGUAUAUCUUGACUAUAACGGAUUUUACCUCAAAAUAAUGGGAAGUGCUUCUAAAUCCAACUCACACUUCAGACUCUAAAAUAAUAGCUCUGUUGCAGUUAUUUGCAACACAUGGGUAGCUGACAAGUAUUGGUUUUGACAAAGGAUUUACAUUUACUCCAGCAGUGUUUAAAGAAUCUGAGAGCACAAACCCUAUCAGAACUGUCAUAGUUUUACCUUAUCACCUUCCAGAAAAAAUGCUAGUCCAAAAGGAUGGUAUUGACUACUAAGGAUACCCUGAAUGUGAUGGUUUGAGAAAAUUGCUAACAAGGUUUCUUGUUGCUGAACAUGUUAUCUCAUAUUCAAAACCACAAGUGGAUUGUACUAAUUAAUAGGUUGCUGUCUCAAAAAGUGUCAGAAUGACCUUCGCCAGACUUUAGGAGAAAAGAGUAUUUAUUUGUUUAUUGAUUUUUCUGUAUCAACAUUGUUGGUUUGUAUUUCUUUGGUCUUGAGAUGAAAUCCUAGAGUGAACCUCGAAAUCCUAGGUUCACAAACAGUAAAUUAAUAAUCAUGGUCCAUACUAUAAACAAGUUGGAGCUGCCUUCCCAUGCUGCUCAUCCCAAAAGUUCUAGCAGAGAAAUAAAAUACUCAGAUAUAUAGUAGUGCAUCAAAUUGCAUAAGCAAUAUUUCUCCAUAGGGAAAGAAAUUUGCAGAAUCACUCUUAUUGUGAGAGCCUAGAAUAUUUGUUGGCAAAAUAAAUGCUUAACAAGUGGUUUUCAAAAUAAAGAAAAUGAAUUAGUAUUUUGGAGGAAUAAUUUUACUUCUUUCUCAAGAUGGGCAUCCUUUCCCACUGCAUGCAGACUAUUAAGUAAUGAGAACGCCACUUCCUCAACAAGAAAGACCUACAGACCAAACUAACAAUCAUUGGAAGCAGUGAUAUGAAAACAGAUUGUUUCUGGUUAAGAUGAAUUAUAGGUCCGAGUCUCGCUAGAGGUCGACUGUAGGUUAGAGGUACAGAUGGUAUAUUAGGGUGUUGGCUAAGGUUGCUAUAUAAAAGAACCUAAAUACAAUGGCCUAAAUAAAAUACAAGUCUAUUUGCCUCUCAAAAAAAGAAAAUAGAUUGCUUCAUAUUUCAAUUGUAAAGAUAUUAGCCCUGUAUAAUUUUCCCCUCAACAGAAAGUCCAUUAGCAGUUACUCCUUUAAUACCAUCUACUGAUUAUUCAUAUUACCUUCUGGAUGCUCUUCAGUACCAUAAAUUGAAGAAUGCGGUAACAUUUCCCUGGCCACAGUAAUUGUCAGGGUAUAAUCAGCUGCAUUUUCUCACCUAAAUAUUUGACACAGAGACAAAGUCACCCAAGUGAAUUCACUUAUUAAUUAAAAUAUCCUGAAAGUGUA